UACAGAGGUCCCCGAGCGUUGUUCGGUAUUCGAUUAGGGCGUAAAGGGUGUGUAGGAGGUUUGGUAAGUCAGGCGUGAAAUCUCACCGCUCAACGGUGAAACUGCGCUCGAUACUGCCGAGCUAGAGGAUCGGAGGGGAAGCGGAAUCUUGGUGUAGCAGUGAAAUGCGUAGAUAUCAAGAGGAACGCCGGUGGCGAAGGCGGCUUCCUGGAAGAUUCCUGACUCUGAAACNCGAAAGCUA
This 241-nucleotide ribosomal RNA is filed under the name uncultured bacterium. RNAcentral describes it as "partial 16S ribosomal RNA". It matches the Rfam family "Bacterial small subunit ribosomal RNA", at positions 524 to 762 of the family's 1533-position model. The record is from RNAcentral.